UAGGGAAUCUUCCGCAAUGGACGCAAGUCUGACGGAGCAACGCCGCGUGAGUGAAGAAGGAUUUCGGUUCGUAAAACUCUGUUGUUAGAGAAGAACAGCGCAUAGAGUAACUGUUAUGCGUGUGACGGUAUCUAACCAGAAAGCCACGGCUAACUACGUGCCAGCAGCCGCGGUAAUACGUAGGUGGCAAGCGUUGUCCGGAUUUAUUGGGCGUAAAGCGAGCGCAGGCGUUCAAUUAAGUCUGAUGUGAAAGCCCCCGGCUCAACCGGGGAGGGUCAUUGGAAACUGGUUGACUUGAGUGCAGAAGAGGAGAGUGGAAUUCCAUGUGUAGCGGUGAAAUGCGUCGAUAUAUGGAGGAACACCAGUGGCGAAGGCGACUCUCUGGUCUGUACCUGACGCUGAGGCUCGAAAGCGUGUGUCGCAAACAGG
This 429-nucleotide ribosomal RNA is filed under the name Bacteroidota bacterium. Its description in RNAcentral is "Bacteroidetes bacterium partial 16S ribosomal RNA". It matches the Rfam family "Bacterial small subunit ribosomal RNA", at positions 355 to 776 of the family's 1533-position model. The record is from RNAcentral. Lineage: Bacteria; Pseudomonadati; Bacteroidota.